This 248-nucleotide unclassified non-coding RNA is filed under the name Hevea brasiliensis (rubber tree). The record is from RNAcentral. Lineage: Eukaryota; Viridiplantae; Streptophyta; Magnoliopsida; Malpighiales; Euphorbiaceae.
CUUAACCAAACAAGUCCUAUCAACUUUUCCUUGUCAGGUCCAAUUAGUUUCUCGGGUUGGCUCGAAAUCGAAGCCCAAUUCUCUCUUCUCUCCCUCCUCCGCUGCUGCAAAACCUAGAUCGUUCUCAGGCCGUCGGAACUCGGUCUCCGAGCUUCUUAUUCGCACGGAGAUCGCGUCUUCGCUACCGGCAUUUACUUUUUGAACCAAGAUGGCAACACUUGAAGAGAACAAUGCUCUGGUAAUGGUUA